Molecule: ribosomal RNA, 468 nt
Filed under: uncultured bacterium
Lineage: Bacteria
Description: partial 16S ribosomal RNA
Rfam family: Bacterial small subunit ribosomal RNA
Source: RNAcentral
GACGAACGCUGGCGGCGUGCUUAACACAUGCCAGUCGAACGGAAAGGCCCUGCUUUUGUGGGGUGCUCGAGUGGCGAACGGGUGAGUAACACGUGAGUAACCUGCCCUUGACUUUGGGAUAACUUCAGGAAACUGGGGCUAAUACCGGAUAGGAGCUCCUGCUGCAUGGUGGGGGUUGGAAAGUUUCGGCGGUUGGGGAUGGACUCGCGGCUUAUCAGCUUGUUGGUGGGGUAGUGGCUUACCAAGGCUUUGACGGGUAGCCGGCCUGAGAGGGUGACCGGCCACAUUGGGACUGGGAUACGGCCCAGACUCCUACGGGAGGCAGCAGUGGGGAAUAUUGCACAAUGGGCGGAAGCCUGAUGCAGCAACGCCGCGUGCGGGAUGACGGCCUUCGGGUUGUACACCGCUUUCGCCUGUGACGAAGCGUGAGUGACGGUAAUGGGUAAAGAAGCACCGGCUAACUACGUG